RNAcentral lists this ribosomal RNA (579 nucleotides) under uncultured bacterium. RNAcentral's name for it is "partial 16S ribosomal RNA". It matches the Rfam family "Bacterial small subunit ribosomal RNA", at positions 356 to 932 of the family's 1533-position model. The record is from RNAcentral.
UGGGAAUUUUGGACAAUUGGGCGAAAGCCUGAUCCAGCAAUGCCGCGUGUGUGAAGAAGGCCUUCGGGUUGUAAAGCACUUUUGUCCGGAAAGAAAUCCUUGGCUCUAAUACAGUCGGGGGAUGACGGUACCGGAAGAAUAAGCACCGGCUAACUACGUGCCAGCAGCCGCGGUAAUACGUAGGGUGCAAGCGUUAAUCGGAAUUACUGGGCGUAAAGCGUGCGCAGGCGGUUUGCUAAGACCGAUGUGAAAUCCCCGGGCUCAACCUGGGAACUGCAUUGGUGACUGGCAGGCUAGAGUAUGGCAGAGGGGGGUAGAAUUCCACGUGUAGCAGUGAAAUGCGUAGAGAUGUGGAGGAAUACCGAUGGCGAAGGCAGCCCCCUGGGCAAUACUGACGCUCAUGCACGAAAGCGUGGGGAGCAAACAGGAUUAGAUACCCCUGGUAGUCCACGCCCUAAACGAUGUCAACUAGUUGUUGGGGAUUCAUUUCCUUAGUAACGUAGCUAACGCGUGAAGUUGACCGCCUGGGGAGUACGGUCGCAAGAUUAAAACUUAAAUGAAUUGACGGGGUCAUAGCUG